RNAcentral lists this long non-coding RNA (889 nucleotides) under Cyanistes caeruleus (blue tit). RNAcentral describes it as "lncRNA (ENSCCEG00000014760.1)". Lineage: Eukaryota; Metazoa; Chordata; Aves; Passeriformes; Paridae. The record is from RNAcentral.
CAUUUUUAUUACUUUAUUAACCUUUUUUAUUUAACCUGGUAAUAAAACUACUCAGCUGUGGGGUGAAGUCUCAAUUAAAAUUUCCCUCUCCAGGAGCCACAGAGCCAAAACCUCCAGCAGUUAUCGAAGUUGGUUUCCCUGUGAAAGCUGUGCUCUGUUAUCAGAUUCUGUUAUUCAGUACAGGGAUCCCUGCUUUCCAGCAAGCAUCAUUUCAGGAGGUGCUCUGAAAGCUUUCGGGCUCUCCCAAUGAUUGCUUCGCUUUUCUUUCACAGCAAUUACACUCUCUUCAUUUAAUUUCAAUGGAAACUUUAGUGUUUUAGACCUUGCCCAUGUAGCUGAAUGCUCAUCUCUGGAUCUUAUUUCCAGUCCUCAGGAGGACUGGUUUUGAUGACCUAGUCUGAUUACAGCAUCUUUGACAGCUUUAAAGGAAUUUGCCCGGGGGAAGAAGACAGCUGCUGCCCUGAUGAGGGAUUUUUCUGAGCAGGCCUCCCGAGCCAGACAUGUCAGUGUGAGAUGCUGCCCACGUUUUUCAUCGUGACCAACAGGUUGUUAAACUACAAUCAAAAGCACUUAGCACGAAUGGAACUGUCCCUGUCUUGAGAUUUGAACUGCUGACAUCUUUAUCCGCUGAAACUUGAGUGCCCAGGACCCACCAGAGAGGGGAUUUUGGGAGCAUUUCACAAGGCCUGCGGCUGUGAGCUGGUUCCAGCAUGAGGAAAAGCCCUCCUUCACCCCAAUGCACAGGAAAGAGAAGACAGAUGACAGUAGCUAUCCUCCUUCCAUUCUGAGGAAAAGGCCACCUGUGGACCAAGCUGUGGGGGAAAAGCGGAGAGCAGAGAGAAGGGUUCGAUUUCGUGAGCCAGAAGAAGUCAUUGAACAUGGUAUGCUC